AUUGAACGCUAGCGGGAUGCUUUACACAUGCAAGUCGAACGGCAGCGCGGACUUCGGUCUGGCGGCGAGUGGCGAACGGGUGAGUAAUGUAUCGGAACGUGCCCAGUAGCGGGGGAUAACUACGCGAAAGCGUAGCUAAUACCGCAUACGCCCUACGGGGGAAAGCAGGGGAUCGUAAGACCUUGCACUAUUGGAGCGGCCGAUAUCGGAUUAGCUAGUUGGUGAGGUAACGGCUCACCAAGGCGACGACCCGUAGCUGGUUUGAGAGGACGACCAGCCACACUGGGACUGAGACACGGCCCAGACUCCUACGGGAGGCAGCAGUGGGGAAUUUUGGACAAUGGGGGCAACCCUGAUCCAGCCAUCCCGCGUGUGCGAUGAAGGCCUUCGGGUUGUAAAGCACUUUUGGCAGGAAAGAAACGUCGCGGGCUAAUACCCCGUGGAACUGACGGUACCUGCAGAAUAAGCACCGGCUAACUACGUG
This 484-nucleotide ribosomal RNA is filed under the name uncultured bacterium. RNAcentral describes it as "partial 16S ribosomal RNA". It matches the Rfam family "Bacterial small subunit ribosomal RNA", at positions 30 to 507 of the family's 1533-position model. The record is from RNAcentral.